Molecule: non-coding RNA, 1017 nt
Organism: Phasianus colchicus (ring-necked pheasant)
Lineage: Eukaryota; Metazoa; Chordata; Aves; Galliformes; Phasianidae
Source: RefSeq, a predicted model, not a curated record
GGAGGUUCCUCCUCUGUGGAGUCUUUCCUGUGAAUGUUGGUUCUUUGGAUACAAGUAAAUAGCAACUAUAUACAAGCUGUCCUUCAAAAUGUGGCCCUGUCCUGAGUUAGAGUUUCAAAACAAAAUUCCUGUUUAAUUCACACCUCCAGUCUAGAAACUGCUUGUAGUACAAAAAGAAGAGACCUUUCUCUCACUAGAAAGGAAAUCUUUGAAGUGGGACUCCUUUGAAACUGGGGUACUAGGAUGCAAAGAGCACAAGGCUGGGAAGAGCAAGCAAGAGAAGCAUGAUCGUACCAGCUGGCAGUGCCUUUCCUGGAAAUCAGACUUCUCACUAAGAAGCAAGUAUAGCACGGGUUUGUUUUUCUAAGAUGACAUCCAGAUUACAUUUAAGAAACCUACAACUUCAAAGAGGAGAAACUUGGUGGCAUUUCUUCAGAAAGCAUAAGCUUUCCAUGGAGUAAAACUGGUGACCAAAAGAAAAAAGAUAAUUGUGGAGUGUUUUUUUAAUGCUUAAAGCAACAUUAGAAAGAAGUGAAACAGAUUUUAUCACUAUCUGCAACAGACACUGUGGUAGAGGCUUGCUCCUUAAUGACCUGCUUAUGAUGAGAGUGCUUGUGUGUUGGCUGGCAGCUCCUGACAUAGAGCAACUUAAGUGGAAGCAUCCUCAAUUUCUGCUAGAGUCAUCUAGGCACUUUUACUGAAUUUCCAAGCUGGCUUCUGUUCUGCCAUUCUAGCAGAUGCUGAAUGCCCCCUACAGGUGAGCAUACCAAGGAUCUGUGGCAGGACAUGAAAGCUCAUUCCUGAAUGAAUGUUAAGAAAUACUGGAUGUAGUAUACUGAAGGAAUAUGUCUCCAGCAGAGACAUAAACAACCAAAGGCAUGGGCAAUGUUUAAUGAUCUCCACUAUGGGGAGGAGAAUAUGUUGGUAGCUCUGAUGAGCACUUCGACUAAUGCAUUUGCAAUUGAUAAUGAUGUUGAAUUAAUAUUCUGAAAAUAAUAAAGAGGGAGAAUUGUGUUA